RNAcentral lists this ribosomal RNA (254 nucleotides) under uncultured bacterium. Its description in RNAcentral is "partial 16S ribosomal RNA". It matches the Rfam family "Bacterial small subunit ribosomal RNA", at positions 524 to 776 of the family's 1533-position model. The record is from RNAcentral.
CACGUAGGGGCCAAGCGUUGUCCGGAUUUAUUGGGCGUAAAGAGCUCGUAGGCGGUUCGACAAGUCGGGUGUGAAAACUCCGGGCUCAACCCGGAGACGCCACCCGAUACUGUCGUGACUGGAGUCCGGUAGGGGAGUGGGGAAUUCCUGGUGUAGCGGUGAAAUGCGCAGAUAUCAGGAGGAACACCCGUGGCGAAGGCGGUUCUCUGGGACGGUACUGACGCUGAGACGCGAAAGCGUGGGGAGCGAACAGG